CCUACGGGGUGCAGCAGUGGGGAAUAUUGGACAAUGGGCGAAAGUCUGAUCCAGCCAUGCCGCGUGUGUGAAGAAGGCCUUCGGGUUGUAAAGCACUUUCAGUGGGGAAGAAAGCCUUGGGGCUAAUACCCUCGAGGAAGGACAUCACCCACAGAAGAAGCACCGGCUAACUCCGUGCCAGCAGCCGCGGUAAUACGGAGGGUGCGAGCGUUAAUCGGAAUUACUGGGCGUAAAGCGCGCGUAGGCGGUCUGAUAAGCCGGUUGUGAAAGCCCCGGGCUCAACCUGGGAACGGCAUCCGGAACUGUCAGGCUAGAGUGCAGGAGAGGAAGGUAGAAUUCCCGGUGUAGCGGUGAAAUGCGUAGAGAUCGGGAGGAAUACCAGUGGCGAAGGCGGCCUUCUGGACUGACACUGACGCUGAGGUGCGAAAGCGUGGGUAGCAAACAGGAUUAGAUACCCCGGUAGUC
RNAcentral lists this ribosomal RNA (465 nucleotides) under Vreelandella stevensii. Its description in RNAcentral is "partial 16S ribosomal RNA". It matches the Rfam family "Bacterial small subunit ribosomal RNA", at positions 338 to 795 of the family's 1533-position model. Lineage: Bacteria; Pseudomonadati; Pseudomonadota; Gammaproteobacteria; Oceanospirillales; Halomonadaceae. The record is from RNAcentral.